AGCAUUUUGCAUUUUGUGGGGGGGCUUUCUGUACUUCCCGAAACUGACUGAGCGCAUUUAUCAUUAAAGACUAACUCAAAUCAGCGCAAGCCCUCAAACUGAACCACAAAAAAAAUUAAAAAGGGGAAGUUUUUUAACCUUUUAACUGUCAGAAGAAGAGAGCUGACACAUUUUUCGGACACGGGGUGGGGUGGAUAUAAAAGCGCUUUGAAAUGGAGUCACAGCCGGUGUUGGGCCACCCCAACCGAACCUACGGAGUGGCCAAUCCCGGUUAUAUGCCAGCAGCACAGGGAGCACCCGGUAAGCUCCGCGGGUUUAUCACUAAACUUUUGCACUGAACUUGAAGCUUUUUGUUAUACUAUGCAUGUAAAGAGUGUUGUGAUUUGCGCGCGCGCGCACACAAACACACACACACGCACACACACACACACUGGAGUGACGUAAUUUUACGUGCAGGUUAUUCGAGGCUGCUGUCGCUGUACGUAGAAGCUGUAGGAGUCGUGUGUGCGCUACCUACUGCUCACAUAAAAGUUAUAGCCUAGUGUUUGUUAGACGACCUAACCCUGUCUGCGAGGGUUAAAACCCUAACCCCAACCCUAACCGCUGUAGAUGUAGCCUACAGCAUCUUGCAAUGGAUAAAAACACUGAAGGACAAGGUAAGUCCGAUCGCACGAGACUUCAGGUGU
Plectropomus leopardus (leopard coralgrouper) is the source of this 686-nucleotide non-coding RNA. Lineage: Eukaryota; Metazoa; Chordata; Actinopteri; Perciformes; Serranidae. The record is from RefSeq and is a predicted model, not a curated record.